Molecule: ribosomal RNA, 454 nt
Filed under: uncultured Porphyromonadaceae bacterium
Lineage: Bacteria; Pseudomonadati; Bacteroidota; Bacteroidia; Bacteroidales; Porphyromonadaceae
Description: partial 16S ribosomal RNA
Rfam family: Bacterial small subunit ribosomal RNA
Source: RNAcentral
ACGGAAGGCAGCAGUGGGGAAUAUUGGUCAAUGGGCGGAAGCCUGAACCAGCCAAGUCGCGUGAAGGAAGACGGUUCUAUGGAUUGUAAACUUCUUUUGCAUGAGGGUAAAGUGACCUACGUGUAGGUUAUUGCAAGUAUCAUGUGAAUAAGCAUCGGCUAACUCCGUGCCAGCAGCCGCGGUAAUACGGAGGAUGCGAGCGUUAUCCGGAUUUAUUGGGUUUAAAGGGUGCGUAGGCGGGAUAUUAAGUCAGCGGUGAAAGUUUGCGGCUCAACCGUAAAAUUGCCGUUGAAACUGGUGUCCUUGAGUGUAAACGAGGUAGGCGGAAUGUAACGUGUAGCGGUGAAAUGCUUAGAUAUGUUACAGAACUCCGAUUGCGAAGGCGGCUUACCAGCAUACAACUGACGCUGAGGCACGAAAGCGUGGGUAUCAAACAGGAUUAGAUACCCUGGUA